This 969-nucleotide ribosomal RNA is filed under the name Triticum aestivum (bread wheat). RNAcentral describes it as "partial small subunit ribosomal RNA". Lineage: Eukaryota; Viridiplantae; Streptophyta; Magnoliopsida; Poales; Poaceae. The record is from RNAcentral.
AUGGCUUCCCGCAGCUGCUUCUCUGUGGCGUGUGCUGUCGCAGUGAUGGCGUUUGCCAUCUUAGCCACGGCGAGCAAUGCGCAGCCGCUGGACCCUCAUUUCUACGACAAGUUGUGCCCGGCGGCGCUCCCCGCCAUCAGGAAGGCCGUCGCGGUGGAGCCGUGCAUGGGUGCCUCGCUCCUGCGCCUGCACUUCCACGACUGCUUCGUCAACGGGUGUGAUGGGUCCAUCCUGCUCGACGACACGCCCUUCUUCACCGGCGAGAAGAACGCCGCGCCCAACCUGAACUCCAUUCGCGGCUUCGACGUCAUCGAUCGCAUCAAGGACGCCGUCAACGCCGGGUGCAGGGGAAACGUGGUGUCCUGCGCUGAUGUUGUGGCCGUCGCAGCACGUGACUCCGUCAUCACGCUGGGAGGGCCGUCGUACGACGUGCUUCUGGGUCGGAGGGACGCGCGGGGGGUGAGCCAGGGGGCGGCGAACAACAUCAUCCCGGCGCCGACCUUCGACCUCGAUCGCCUCAUCUCCAACUUCGCCUCGCACGGCCUCACUGUGCAGGACCUGGUCGUGCUCUCCGGCGGCCACACUCUGGGCUUCUCCCGCUGCACCAACUUCCGUGACCGCCUAUACAACGAGACAGCCACAUUGGACGGCUCCCUCGCCGCGCAGCUCAGGGGCCCCUGCCCGCUCGCCGGCGGCGAUGACAACCUCGCGCCGCUUGACCCGACGCCAGCGCGGUUGGACGGCGGGUACUACGGCUCGUUGCUGCGCAGCAGGGGGCUGCUGCACUCGGACCAGCAGCUGUUCGCUGGCGGCCUCGGCCCCACGGACGCGCUCGUUAGGUUCUAUGGCGCCAACCCGGAGGCGUUCAGGAGGGACUUCGCGGAGGCCAUGGUGAGGAUGGGCGGCCUCAGCCCGCUCACCGGGAGCAACGGCGAGAUCCGCGCCAACUGCAGGAAGGUGAACUACUAG